RNAcentral lists this ribosomal RNA (397 nucleotides) under uncultured bacterium. RNAcentral's name for it is "partial 16S ribosomal RNA". It matches the Rfam family "Bacterial small subunit ribosomal RNA", at positions 523 to 918 of the family's 1533-position model. The record is from RNAcentral.
AUACGUAGGUGGCAAGCGUUGUCCGGAUUUAUUGGGCGUAAAGCGAGCGCAGGCGGUUUCUUAAGUCUGAUGUGAAAGCCCCCGGCUCAACCGGGGAGGGUCAUUGGAAACUGGGAGACUUGAGUGCAGAAGAGGAGAGUGGAAUUCCAUGUGUAGCGGUGAAAUACGUAGAUAUAUGGAGGAACACCAGUGGCGAAGGCGACUCUUUGGUCUGUAACUGACGCUGAGGCUCGAAAGCGUGGGGAGCAAACAGGAUUAGAUACCCUGGUAGUCCACGCCGUAAACGAUGAGUGCUAAGUGUUGGAGGGUUUCCGCCCUUCAGUGCUGCAGCUAACGCAUUAAGCACUCCGCCUGGGGAGUACGACCGCAAGGUUGAAACUCAAAGGAAUUGACGGGG